Molecule: non-coding RNA, 779 nt
Organism: Delphinapterus leucas (beluga whale)
Lineage: Eukaryota; Metazoa; Chordata; Mammalia; Artiodactyla; Monodontidae
Source: RefSeq, a predicted model, not a curated record
GCAGGCGGACUCUCAACCACCGCGCCACCAGAGAAGCCCUGAACAUAACAUUUUUAUAGAGCCUCAACAUGAGACAAGACCACGGAAGAUGCAAGGUUCUGAGUCCAACGUGAUGUUUGUCAUCAGGCCACAUCUCUGAGCCCAACUCUGCAUGGGGAAAAUUUUUAGGUGCUUUCUGCACAGAGACACAAAAGCCAGUUUCCAACAAGAGAUCUGGGGGUUGAGAUAACAGAACUAAUAAAGUGCUGACAAACCAGGAAGGAAGUGGAGAAAGUAGGACAGGAAAGGGAAGAAGUCAAGCAAGAAAUUUCAGGUGUGCAAUUUUCCCCUGGAGGAGCAAGAUCACUUCCAGUUGAGAAUGACUAAGAUGCCAGUCAACAUUCAAGAACAUUCUGAUUUGAAGACUCCGUUUCAUCCAUGAAAUGCAUUGUAGGAAUGACAUAAUUGUGCAUUUUGAGGAUUAUGGAGAAGAAUCUAGUGGGAUCAUGCAUGGGACAGCCUUUGUAAAAUGUAAGGUACGUAAAGAUGUAGAGAAGUUGUUUUCAUUUUCGAGUCUUCUCUCAGUAUAUGGCGGUCUCAAAUUACUAAGUAUUUCUAUUCCAUUGUACAGAUAGCUACUGAAAUCCUAAGACUUUCAUAAAACCUGAGUCAGGUAAGUGUUGAUGACGUCUCUUGAAUUUCACAAUCUCAGAAUUUGCUUCUAUAGCUUCUUAUCUUUUAUGCCAAUCUCUAAAUGUCCUCUUGCCCCUGUGACUAACACUCUGGAGCGCUCAAUUAUA